Long non-coding RNA from Aedes albopictus (Asian tiger mosquito), 840 nucleotides. RefSeq lists it as uncharacterized. The transcript is spliced from 2 exons. Lineage: Eukaryota; Metazoa; Arthropoda; Insecta; Diptera; Culicidae. The record is from RefSeq and is a predicted model, not a curated record.
GAAAACGCAUCGCAGUGGAUCAUCAAGAUUACCCUCCAGAAAACGCGCUACAUUUACGACUACCGGCGGGAAGCUAACAGCCAAGAGUUGUUUUAGUGCUGCCUAACUGAAGGACAAAAUCGUCGAAGGGAAUCUAUGCUGCCUGCGGUGCAUCCAGACGAGGAACACUUUUGAACGAACCGCCUCUGCCGAGUGCCGGAUACCAAAUUCGAAGCUGGAAGAGGGCCGAGUGGUAAAGUGCGUGCACUGUGGAUGCCUUGGUCACUCCAGAUGGAAUAAAGUGCCUCCAUGUCCUAAACAUGGUAGCAAUGCUAAAUGCCAACCAACUCUGUGACAACCUCGGUUUCGUGGAUUUCAACGACGACGUUCAGAUCCCUUCGAGUUUCGACCACGAGCGGAGCGACGUUCCCGGCCACCAACACGACUUCCGUCACCAGAAAUCCCAAUUAGAAGCAUGGGGAUGCGAAAAACGGAGGACGCAUGCGUCACAUGCAACUGAGAAUUUGAGGUUUUUGUGGUCCGCCGAUGCCACCAAUGUUCCCUAUGAUUGGUGGUCGCCGGAACGGUCCUCUUUCGCUACAGCCUCCGCCCUUCCGUGUGCACCCUAUAGAAAUGCAUGGUGCCCGAUGAGGCCGCCUCCACCUUCGAACGGCCGGUUCAGAGGUCCGCCAAUGGGUCCGAUACCACACAUGUAGGCACCGAUGAUGAACCCGAUGAUGCCUCCGCCGACGCGCGACCCGAACGGAAAGCUAACGCCAGGUCUGAUGGCCAAGGAUACCAAGUGAGUCGGUUCAAUAGUCCUUUUUUUCCAAUGGAAGCGUAGCUAAAAAGUGGUCAGAA